GGGAUUUAUGCUGUUAAGAUCAUGUUUCAAUUUAAGAAUGCCAUCAACAUCAAGAUUCUGAAAUUUGGGGGGCCUGGGAUCAUAAAAUUGUGAUUGUAAUCCUCUUUUCUUCCUAGCAAAUAGGUCAGAGGCAUGGCUUGGUUUUACAAGGGUUGAGACCCUAACUGGAAUUCUACCGCUCUUUUAUUUCCUUUCCCCCAUUGCCUCGGCUUCGAUGUGCAGCAUCUGUUAUCAGGGGUGGAAAUUUGUAGUUGCGAGUUUCUCAUCAUGUUCUCAAGCUUCCAAAUUAUAGCCAUUACAUGACAGCAACACCCACAGUUGCAAGGGGGACAUUGCCUUUCACAUUUUGCUGCCUGGAUCUUGGGUGUUUCUCUUCUGUUGAUGACCAAUUUUACUUUGUACUUAACAUUUCUUUUGUAGGAUGUCCAACAAGAAGGGUGCAAAUAAAUUAUAUUUUUUUCCACGUUGUUAUAUACCUGCAUUUCAUCUACGAAGUUCAUCAUACGAAGACCCUUGUCAUUAGAGUUUAUAACAACUUCAGCGUUUGCAGAUUUCUUUGAUGACUUUCCUGAAUUUUUAACUUGUUCGAAAGCAUCCAUAGGCACAAAGGAUGGCAAAACAGAAAAGUCUUCUGAGAAUAGCGUGGACUUGUCCAGUGGGUAGCUAUCAAAACACGUACUAUUGGGGCUGGUUUGCCCAAGGACAUUCUGCUCAGUUACACUGGAACACACUGGAGCGCUUAAGCCUCUCAAGCUUUGCUUUCAUCAGGGUCAGGAUCGUAAACCUUGUCUCCGUAAUAGGGUAUUGCAUUGAAUGCUUUUACUCUGCACACAAGGGAAUACAAAAAGCAAGUAGGUAAGUAUUCACCUGGAACAGUGCAACGCACAUAACCAUCCAGAAAACAAACAGCAAAACAAAAUAUCGAACUUACUUUUCAACGGGAUCUUCUUUUCUUCUGCAUUUAAGCCAGAAUUUUAGCUGCGGUACAUUCCAUUUACCUACAUCUUCUGAAUUACCGACCAAAAAACAUGGGAUAUCAUCUGGAGUGAGAUUUAAACUCAUUUCUUGCAAGGCUUUGUCUUCCAUGACACUUAAUUUUCCCGCACAACUUUUAAGACUUGCGCCAGAUGGCCCUUAGGCGUCACUUCCAUGUAACUUCUGGUGAUGGGCUGAAUCUGUGCAUUGCAAAGGACUCGAAAUACUAAGUACACUGUUUUAAAAAUGUGUUGAAGUGUUUGUUCAGUUUUGGAAUACUUCUGUUACCUCGAGCAAAUGCUAAAGCCAACUAUUUCAAACAGAAGAUCGUGGAAAACAAAGAUAACAUAAAAAAUCAGUGGAAAAUAUUGAAGCCAGUCACACAAGCACUGAGCCAUGUAAUCAUUGACAAUGGGUGUGAUGAUUAUUUUACAUCAUUUACUUCUUCACCAAUGGAGAUGAACUUGAAUUUUACACGUCUGGUUGCAAAUAACUAGCUCCUCCAUCUCAUCAACAACAGCAUGUCUGAGACUGUCACAGAUGUCUUCAAAAUUCCAACAAUGACAGAGAGGAUAAUUGAAAAUGACUGGAAGAAUAUCCCAUCUCACAAAGCCACUGGCCUAGAUAGCGUCAGUGUUCAUAUACUAAAAGAAACUCUACCAGCUGCACUUCACAAAAAAGAUUCCACUACUGACUUCCAAUCCUUUCUAAACCUCUAGAACAACACGUAUCUGCAACUUAUCAGAAACACCUGUUAAAGUAUAAUCUGCUGUGCAAACAUCAGUCUGCUUGUCGACCUAAUUAUUAAUGUGAAACUGCAGUAAUUAACAUUACAGAUCGUUGGCUCAAGGAAUUGGACAGAGGAAAGCUUAUUGGAGCCAUUUUGCUUGAUUUAAGCAAGGCAUUUGACUUAGUCAAUCAUGACAUUCUUCUAUCCAAAUUAUCAAUGUGCUUCACUAGAGAGUACACUAUGCAAUGGUUUAAAUCAUAUUUGAGCAAAUGCUGGCAGAAAUGUAUUGUAUUAGGGAAAACAUCAAUGCCACUUCCUCUAAUGUACUAGGAGUUCCACAGGUAUCCAUUUUAGGUCCAUCAUGUUUUUCAAUGUACGUAAAUGAUUUGCCACUUUCUAUACAAAAUUCUGAAAUUGAUGUAUGCCAAUGACACUACCAUCUGGUCAAGUGGUAACAUGUGUGAAAGCAUACAACAAUUACUACAAGAAAGUCUAAAUAAUGCAAAUUGUUGGUUCAGCCUUAAUUUAAUGGGAUGAAGCCCAAUGCCAAAAAAGUAAGCAAAUGUUAAUUCUAAGUACUCAAAUCCUCGUUGUGCGGACAAGACCUGCAUAAAUUUAUUUUGGAUUGAUACCAAACUAAAGGAGGCAAUGGGGAAAAAGCCUCUUGGGACUAGGAUACACAAAAAUCUCACUUGGAAUUUGCGUAUUGAUUAUGUUAUCAGCAAGCUGAAAGUUCUGCAAAAUUUAUCUGUUCAAAAGGUGAAAACAUUUUCUAUCUUUGCACUGUAGGAAAUUAUUGUUAGUAUCAUUCCCUUGUAAAACCGACUGGUUAUUUCAUUUUGCACUGAACAGUAAGACUACUGUAGAUCAAAUAGUAGGGUUGUUUGAUACAAAAUCUUUUCAAACAAAUGUCUUGAUUUUUGAAAAAAUGGUAGACUACAGUUGACAGUGGUAAGGGCAUUAUGCAAUACUGGUCAGAAAAAAAAUGACAUUGAAUUUCAGCACUAAGAAAUGUUUGCAACCAAAAUUGCCCCUCAAUCACAUGUGAAAAGAGUUGAUACACUUGUUUAGCCAGUCAUUUUAGACAUUUUAACAUAAAUACCUUUUGUCCCUCUCCACCUAUCAAUGUUAUUUCAGGAUUACUUUGAAUUCCAACCUUUGAGCAACAACUUUGACUAACCCUAACCCUAACACUGUACAAAAAGUAAAGGAUUUGUCUUCCUAAAAGCAAUGGUUUGUAAUUUAUAUUUAUAUUAACCUAUAGAUAAACAUAAAGUAAGAGUAAAUCCGACACUAAAAGAAUUAAUGUACUUUGUGCUGAUAGUAUGCAACUUGAUCUUGGUCUUAAAUUGUCUCAAAGAAGUCUCUUGUUUUUGGGACUUCAAGAUUUGGAAGACCGAAGGCCAUAAUCGUGUCGGUUUGUGAUAAAGUUAACAAAUUAGACAAAUGAGAGGGACGUUAACAAUUUACUACCUUAAACAUCAUUGUAGUCUUAUGUUGUCUCAUUUCUGUUUGGAAUCCCAGCCAAGUUCACACCAAAUAUCUUUGCAGUGUUUCAAGUGCCAUGCCUGAAACUUAAAAUAUUCUACAGUACAGUACAGUACAGUCAAGAGCCCUCCCCUACCCCACCACUUUAACAAGGUGGUAGAGGAGACCAAACAAGAGGUACUCCAGCCUCUAACUGUAAAGACCCCCUACCCCAUCUAAAUAGGUCAACAGAGUAGCAGUUAAAACUUCCUUACCCGAUCUGUAUAGGUGCAGGUAAUAAUCAAGACCUCCUGCGCUAUCCAUAGGGAUGGUGGGUAACCUCUGUCCCAUCCAUAUGGGUGGCUUUAAGCAAUAUAGGAGGUGUCACAAUCUAUUGUGGAAGGGGAAGAUGAGGAAUCCAGAGUGGAUAGAGAGUUGUCAGAACUUAGUGAACAAAGACUUUACUUUCUACGAGCUGAUGCCUUGCGGGACAAACAAAAUGCAACAAAGGACAAGGUUUCCCUACAAGAAGCUGUUCAGAGACAGGCACAAGUAGAAAACUCCAGCAACAGUGAUGAUAGUGAUUUUGAAGAAUUUCUAGAUUGGAGAGCAAAGAAAGUAUCUUGACAUGAAGAUGGCUUGUUCUGCAAUUUGGCAUUUUUCACCCAUAUAGCAAUAAAAUAUAGCAAUAAAAUUGUUAUUCUGAUUUA
Molecule: unclassified non-coding RNA, 3882 nt
Organism: Orbicella faveolata
Lineage: Eukaryota; Metazoa; Cnidaria; Anthozoa; Scleractinia; Merulinidae
Source: RefSeq, a predicted model, not a curated record